CUGGCUCAGGAUGAACGCUGGCGGCGUGCCUAACACAUGCAAGUCGAACGGACCUUUACCAACUGCGAUUCGUCAAAGGAAGUAUAAGGUUAGUGGCGGACGGGUGAGUAACGCGUGGGUAACCUGCCUCAUAGAGGGGGAUAACAGUUGGAAACGAUUGCUAAUACCGCAUAAGCCCACAGGACCGCAUGGUCCAGGGGGAAAAGAUUCAUCGCUAUGAGAUGGACCCGCGUUUGAUUAGUUAGUUGGCGGUGUAACGGACCACCAAGACGACGAUCAAUAGCCGGACUGAGAGGUUGAACGGCCACAUUGGGACUGAGACACGGCCCAAACUCCUACGGGAGGCAGCAGUGGGGAAUAUUGCACAAUGGGGGAAACCCUGAAUGCAGCGACGCCGCGUGGGUGAAGAAGUUUUUCGGAAUGUAAAGCCCUAUCAGCAGGGAAGAAAAUGACGGUACCUGACUAAGAAGCCCCGGCUAACUACGUGCCAGCAGCCGC
Molecule: ribosomal RNA, 498 nt
Filed under: uncultured bacterium
Lineage: Bacteria
Description: bacterial SSU rRNA
Rfam family: Bacterial small subunit ribosomal RNA
Source: RNAcentral